CCUACGGGAGGCAGCAGUGAGGAAUAUUGGUCAAUGGCCGAGAGGCUGAACCAGCCAAGUCGCGUGAAGGAUGACGGCCCUACGGGUUGUAAACUUCUUUUGUAAGGGAGUAAAGUGAGUCACGUGUGACUUUUUGUGAGUACUUGAUGAAUAAGCAUCGGCUAACUCCGUGCCAGCAGCCGCGGUAAUACGGAGGAUCCGAGCGUUAUCCGGAUUUAUUGGGUUUAAAGGGUGCGUAGGGGGAGGUUUAAGUCAGCGGGAAAAUUUCGGGGCUCAACCCCGUAUUGCCAUUGAAACUGGGUGCCUUGAGUGCACGAGAGGUAGGCGGAAUGCGUGGUGUAGCGGUGAAAUGCAUAGAUAUCACGCAGAACUCCGAUUGCGAAGGCAGCAUAC
RNAcentral lists this ribosomal RNA (393 nucleotides) under uncultured bacterium. RNAcentral's name for it is "partial 16S ribosomal RNA". It matches the Rfam family "Bacterial small subunit ribosomal RNA", at positions 338 to 729 of the family's 1533-position model. The record is from RNAcentral.